Molecule: ribosomal RNA, 506 nt
Filed under: uncultured bacterium
Lineage: Bacteria
Description: partial 16S ribosomal RNA
Rfam family: Bacterial small subunit ribosomal RNA
Source: RNAcentral
GAUGAACGCUAGCUACAGGCUUAACACAUGCAAGUCGAGGGGUAACGAGAGGAAAGCUUGCUUUCCCUGUCGACGACCGGCGCACGGGUGAGUAACGCGUAUCCAACCUGCCCCCAACUAGGGAAUAACCUUGCGAAAGUAAGACUAAUACCCUAUAAUUUCCUCAGAUGUCAUCUGACGAGGAAUAAAGAUUUAUCGGUUGGGGAUGGGGAUGCGUCUGAUUAGCUUGUUGGCGGGGUAACGGCCCACCAAGGCAACGAUCAGUAGGGGUUCUGAGAGGAAGGUCCCCCACAUUGGAACUGAGACACGGUCCAAACUCCUACGGGAGGCAGCAGUGAGGAAUAUUGGUCAAUGGGCGGAAGCCUGAACCAGCCAGGUAGCGUGCAGGAUGACGGCCCUAUGGGUUGUAGACUGCUUUUAUACAGGAAUAAAGUUAGCCACGUGUGGUUAUUUGUAGGUACUGUAUGAAUAAGGACCGGCUAAUUCCGUGCCAGCAGCCGCAGUAA